This 716-nucleotide ribosomal RNA is filed under the name Lactiplantibacillus pentosus. Its description in RNAcentral is "bacterial SSU rRNA". It matches the Rfam family "Bacterial small subunit ribosomal RNA", at positions 69 to 769 of the family's 1533-position model. The record is from RNAcentral. Lineage: Bacteria; Bacillati; Bacillota; Bacilli; Lactobacillales; Lactobacillaceae.
GCAUCAGGAUUUACAUUUGAGUGAGUGGCGAACUGGUGAGUAACACGUGGGAAACCUGCCCAGAAACGGGGGAUAACACCUGGAAACAGAUGCUAAUACCGCAUAACAACUUGGACCGCAUGGUCCGAGUUUGAAAGAUGGCUUCGGCUAUCACUUUUGGAUGGUCCCGCGGCGUAUUAGCUAGAUGGUGGGGUAACGGCUCACCAUGGCAAUGAUACGUAGCCGACCUGAAAGGGUAAUCGGCCACAUUGGGACUGAGACACGGCCCAAACUCCUACGGGAGGCAGCAGUAGGGAAUCUUCCACAAUGGACGAAAGUCUGAUGGAGCAACGCCUCGUGAGUGAAGAAGGGUUUCGGCUCGUAAAACUCUGUUGUUAAAGAAGAACAUAUCUGAGAGUAACUGUUCAGGUAUUGACGGUAUUUAACCAGAAAGCCACGGCUAACUACGUGCCAGCAGCCGCGGUAAUACGUAGGUGGCAAGCGUUGUCCGGAUUUAUUGGGCGUAAAGCGAGCGCAGGCGGUUUUUUAAGUCUGAUGUGAAAGCCUUCGGCUCAACCGAAGAAGUGCAUCGGAAACUGGGAAACUUGAGUGCAGAAGAGGACAGUGGAACUCCAUGUGUAGCGGUGAAAUGCGUAGAUAUAAUGGAAGAACACCAGUGGGCGAAGGCGGCUGUCUGGUUCUGUAACUGGACGCUGAGGCUCGAAAGUAUGGGUAGG